This 586-nucleotide ribosomal RNA is filed under the name Dujonia zeylanoides. RNAcentral's name for it is "[Candida] zeylanoides partial large subunit ribosomal RNA". It matches the Rfam family "Eukaryotic large subunit ribosomal RNA", at positions 49 to 651 of the family's 3401-position model. Lineage: Eukaryota; Fungi; Ascomycota; Pichiomycetes; Serinales; Debaryomycetaceae. The record is from RNAcentral.
AGCGGAGGAAAAGAAACCAACAGGGAUUGCCUCAGUAACGGCGAGUGAAGCGGCAAAAGCUCAAAUUUGAAAUCUAGCACUUUCAGUGUUCGAGUUGUAAUUUGAAGAAGGUAACUUUGGUUUUGGCUCUUGUCUAUGUUCCUUGGAACAGGACGUCACAGAGGGUGAGAAUCCCGUGCGAUGAGAUGCCCAAUUCCAUGUAAAGUGCUUUCGAAGAGUCGAGUUGUUUGGGAAUGCAGCUCUAAGUGGGUGGUAAAUUCCAUCUAAAGCUAAAUAUUGGCGAGAGACCGAUAGCGAACAAGUACAGUGAUGGAAAGAUGAAAAGAACUUUGAAAAGAGAGUGAAAAAGUACGUGAAAUUGUUGAAAGGGAAGGGCUUGAGAUCAGACUUGGUAUUUUGCGUUCCCUUCCUUUUUGGUUGGGUUCCUCGCAGUUUACUGGGCCAGCAUCGGUUUGGAUGGUAGGAUAAUGACAUUGGAAUGUAGCUUUACUUCGGUGAAGUGUUAUAGACUUUGUUGAUACUGCCUAUCUAGACCGAGGACUGCGUCUUUGACUAGGAUGCUGGCGUAAUGAUCUUAAGCCGCCCG